This 253-nucleotide ribosomal RNA is filed under the name uncultured bacterium. RNAcentral's name for it is "partial 16S ribosomal RNA". It matches the Rfam family "Bacterial small subunit ribosomal RNA", at positions 524 to 776 of the family's 1533-position model. The record is from RNAcentral.
UACGUAGGCAGCGAGCGUUGUUCGGAAUUACUGGGCGUAAAGAGUGUGUAGGCGGUGCUCCCAGUCUGUUGUGAAAUCUCCCGGCUUAACUGGGAGGGUGCAGCGGAAACUAGAGUGCUAGAGGGUGGGAGAGGUAAGCGGAAUUCCUGGUGUAGCGGUGAAAUGCGUAGAUAUCAGGAGGAACACCGGUGGUGUAGACGGCUUUCUGGACCGUAACUGACGCUGAGACACGAAAGCGUGGGUAGCAAACAGG